UGCCCUUUUCUUAACUUCCUUUUGGUCCUCCAUUUUGAUAGCCCUUCAUAGUUGUAGUAUCUCUCUCCUCUUCAUUUUCCUUGUAUACUGGUUGUGGGACAUUCAAAGGUUAAGCUUGUUGAGUUUUAUCCCGAAGAAAAAGGAAAAGCUAUUUGAUAAAAACAGAGCAGUUACAUGCAUCAUCGUAGAGAUUCAUGUUCAUGAGCUUUUAGUAUUACGUUUUUCAUUAUUUUCUUCUUUGUAUCAUGUAAUUUAUGCGUUCCACUUUUUCCAUCAUCCCCAACC
This 285-nucleotide long non-coding RNA is filed under the name Elaeis guineensis (African oil palm). RNAcentral's name for it is "long non-coding RNA (EGUI_LNC019595)". Lineage: Eukaryota; Viridiplantae; Streptophyta; Magnoliopsida; Arecales; Arecaceae. The record is from RNAcentral.